ACAUCACGUUGCGAACACUUGUUCUCAAACAAUCAUCGAAGUUAAGCAACGUCGAGUCUUAUCAGUACCUAGAUGGGUGACCGUUCGGGAAUAUCAGGUGCUGAAA
Molecule: non-coding RNA, 106 nt
Organism: Acanthosepion pharaonis
Lineage: Eukaryota; Metazoa; Mollusca; Cephalopoda; Sepiida; Sepiidae
Source: the annotation of a GenBank genome assembly